This 107-nucleotide ribosomal RNA is filed under the name Frullania sp. B BlS-2016. Its description in RNAcentral is "partial 5.8S ribosomal RNA". It matches the Rfam family "5.8S ribosomal RNA", at positions 49 to 154 of the family's 154-position model. Rfam says of the family: 5.8S ribosomal RNA (5.8S rRNA) is a component of the large subunit of the eukaryotic ribosome. It is transcribed by RNA polymerase I as part of the 45S precursor that also contains 18S and 28S rRNA. Functionally, it is thought that 5.8S rRNA may be involved in ribosome translocation. The record is from RNAcentral. Lineage: Eukaryota; Viridiplantae; Streptophyta; Jungermanniopsida; Porellales; Frullaniaceae.
CGAAAUGCGAUACCUAGUGUGAAUUGCAGAAUUCCGCGAAUCAUCGAGUUUUUGAACGCAAGUUGCGCCCGAGGCUCGUACCGAGGGCAUGUCUGUCUGAGCGUCCU